Molecule: ribosomal RNA, 253 nt
Filed under: uncultured bacterium
Lineage: Bacteria
Description: partial 16S ribosomal RNA
Rfam family: Bacterial small subunit ribosomal RNA
Source: RNAcentral
UACGUAGGGAGCAAGCGUUGUCCGGAAUCAUUGGGCGUAAAGAGCGCGUAGGUGGCUGUAUAAGUCCGUUGUGAAAGUCAAAGGCUCAACCUUUGAAAGCCGAUGGAUACUGUAGAGCUAGAGUACGGAAGAGGCGAGUGGAAUUCCUGGUGUAGCGGUGAAAUGCGCAGAUAUCAGGAGGAACACCGAUGGCGAAGGCAGCCCGCUGGGACGGUACUGACGCUGAGACGCGAAAGCGUGGGUAGCAAACAGG